This 380-nucleotide ribosomal RNA is filed under the name uncultured archaeon. RNAcentral's name for it is "bacterial SSU rRNA". It matches the Rfam family "Archaeal small subunit ribosomal RNA", at positions 471 to 851 of the family's 1478-position model. The record is from RNAcentral.
UAAAACCAGCUCCUCGAGUGGUGGGGACGAUUAUUGGGCUUAAAGCGUCCGUAGCCGGCCUGACAAGUCUUCCGUCAAAUCCAGCGACCCAAUCGCUGGGCCGCGGAAGAUACUGCCAGGCUAGGGGACGGGAGAGGCCGACGGUAUUCCUGGGGUAGGGGUGAAAUCCUAUAAUCCCAGGAGGACCACCAGUGGCGAAGGCGGUCGGCUAGAACGCGCCCGACGGUGAGGGACGAAAGCUGGGGGAGCGAACCGGAUUAGAUACCCGGGUAGUCCCAGCCGUAAACGAUGCGGGCUAGGUGUUGGGGCGGUCACGAACCGCCUCAGUGCCGCACGGAAGCAAUUAAGCCCGCCGCCUGGGGAGUACGGUCGCAAGGCUG